RNAcentral lists this ribosomal RNA (567 nucleotides) under uncultured bacterium. Its description in RNAcentral is "bacterial SSU rRNA". It matches the Rfam family "Bacterial small subunit ribosomal RNA", at positions 28 to 610 of the family's 1533-position model. The record is from RNAcentral.
GGUUAACGCUGGCGGCGUGCCUAACACAUGCAAGUCGAACGGUUCUAAGCGCGAGCUUAGGAUAGUGGCGAACGGGUGAGUAAAAGGUAGGAAUCUACCCCUUGGACGGAGAUAGCUACUGGAAACGGUAGGUAAACUUCGAUAAGCCCGAGAGGGGAAAGUGGUGAGACAGCCGAGGGAUGAGCCUACUCUCCAUCAGGUAGUUGGUGAGAUAAAAGCUUACCAAGCCGAUGACGGAUAACCGGUGUGAGAGCAUGAACGGUCACAAGGGCACUGAGAGACGGGCCCUACUCCUACGGGAGGCAGCAGUGGGGAAUCUUGGACAAUGGGCGAAAGCCUGAUCCAGCGACGCCGCGUGGAGGAAGAAGUCCUUCGGGAUGUAAACUUCUGAACUAGCCGAAUAAAAGGCCUGUGGACACACAGGAGAAGAAAGUAGGCUAGGAAAAGUCCCGGCUAACUACGUGCCAGCAGCCGCGGUAAGACGUAGGGGGCAAGCGUUACCCGGAAUUACUGGGCGUAAAGGGGGCGUAGGCGGUAAAAGAAGUCAUCUGUGAAAACCUAUUGCUC